CCUACGGGUGGCAGCAGUGAGGAAUAUUGGUCAAUGGCCGGAAGGCUGAACCAGCCAAGCCGCGUGAAGGACGAAGGUGCCAAGCAUUGUAAACUUCUUUAGUCAAGGGACAAAAUCAGGCUCGAGAGCCUGACCGAGUGGACUUGAAGAAAAAGCAUCGGCCAACUUGGGGCCAGAACCCGCGGCAAAACGGAGGAGGCGAGCGUUAUCCGGAUGUAUUGGGGUAAACGGGUGCGUAGGCGGAAGGUUUAGUCAGCGGUAAAAGCCCGGGGCUAACCCCCGGCUGGCCGUUGAAACUGGCUGUCUUGAGAUGUCGAGAGGUAUGCAGAAUGCGUAGUGUAGCGGUGAAAUGCUUAGAUAUUGCGCAGAACUCCGAUUGCGAAGGCAGCAUACCGGCGGCGAUCUGACGCUGAGGCACGAAAGCGUGGGUAUCGAACAGGAUUAGAUACCCCAGUAGUC
This 459-nucleotide ribosomal RNA is filed under the name uncultured bacterium. RNAcentral's name for it is "partial 16S ribosomal RNA". It matches the Rfam family "Bacterial small subunit ribosomal RNA", at positions 338 to 795 of the family's 1533-position model. The record is from RNAcentral.